GAGACCUCUUCGACCGUUACUCCGAAAAUGGAAUCAUGACCGUCGAUCACCUUCACAGGUUCUUGAUCGAGGUUGAGGGAGAAGAUAAAGCCACAAAAGAAGACGCAGAGUCGAUCAUGGAGUCUCUCAAUGAACUCAAACACCUCAAUAUCUUCCAUCGCAAAGGUCUCCAUCUCGAAGCCUUCUUUCACUACCUCUUCAGCGACUCUAAUCCUCCUCUCUCUCCUUCUCCUAAGGCAUAGCCGUGGCAUCUCAAGCUUCUUCAGCUAAUAUAAAGAGGAAAACGGAGAAACAUGUUGAUGAUGGUAGUGGUGAUAUAGUUGAAGCAGUACCAAACCUGAAGUUGCUUCAGCAUCAUCAUUGCGAAGUGCUAUGCAAGACAGUGGGGAUGUUAAUGACAGUGCAGAUGCAGCAAAGUUGAUUGAAAAUAUGGGGUUGAGUGAGGAGGUAAAUGGUUCAUCAGAAUAUGGAGGCGAAGAUGAGAAUGGGACGACUUUCAAUGACACUGAUCGAGCCGACACUGAUGACAACGGCGAUAAUAAACCAGAGCAUCCUAGUGAAGUGUCAAAAUACGAAAGAAAUCUGGAACUUCUUAACAUCAUGACACACUCCAUUUUUUUGAGUUUUCUGUUAGGAGCGCACUCUCUCUCUCUCUCAUGUGUAUUGUGUAGAAUAUAUGUACAGAAAUUUCUUAGCUUAGUUUGCAUGUCAGGGUUGAUCUGUUAUCUAGUUACAGCAUAGCCUAGUUGAUUUUGUGUAGUAUCACCAGAUGGUGCAUUUUUCGACUCUCAUUCAUAACCGUAUCUCAUUUUUUGUGCCAGUUGGACUUCAUUUCUAUUUU
Molecule: non-coding RNA, 841 nt
Organism: Camellia sinensis
Lineage: Eukaryota; Viridiplantae; Streptophyta; Magnoliopsida; Ericales; Theaceae
Source: RefSeq, a predicted model, not a curated record